UCAGGCCCCUCGUGCGGCGUCAUCCUACGAACCUCCCCAGGGCCGGAAGGCAGCAAGGAUAAGUAGGCUCUGACGGGUGCGCGGGGGGUCCUUCGCGU
Molecule: non-coding RNA, 98 nt
Organism: Thermobifida fusca YX
Lineage: Bacteria; Bacillati; Actinomycetota; Actinomycetes; Streptosporangiales; Nocardiopsidaceae
Source: Rfam